UAUCAAAUUCCAGAGCAUGCGCUUUUUACAUAGCUCUAAAUAGCUGACUUCCUGUUGGGCGGAGCCUAUGACAUGCAAUACAAAAGUUGUUCGGCACGAUGAGAUCUAUAAGUGUACUGAGUUAUAUAUGAACACGUGCAAGUAUGUGUGAGCUAUACAUCAACAUUUCUGACUGUGUUCCAGGGGGCGCUGUAGAGCCCCUGUGCCACGCCCGUGUAUCAGUCUCUGCCCGGCCCUAAUGGCCGCAGAUUCCAAGGUGUGUGCCAAUUUUCAAGAGUUUUUGAGCAUGUUAAGGGCCCCAAAAGCCCCCGAAACCUUGGAAAAAAAUUAGAAGAAUAAAAAAAAUAUAUAGCUGCAAGCAGCAAUGGCGGGCUCAAGCCAUCAGUGCAAACGCCACCCCUGUGGCAUCGGGAAAACUGUGCCCACCUGGCACAUGCAUUUACAGUAACUCUCUGGCAGUCUGGUUUUAAAGGAUUUGGCAAUUAAAGGGUUAAUCCAAACCAUCAAGACUGUGAAAGACACACACAAAUAACAAUAUAUAAAACUUUAGUAAC
Cyprinus carpio carpio is the source of this 554-nucleotide long non-coding RNA. The record is from Ensembl. Lineage: Eukaryota; Metazoa; Chordata; Actinopteri; Cypriniformes; Cyprinidae.